CCGUGGCGGGUGCCUACCAUGCAAGUCGUACGAGAAAGGGGCUUCGGCCCUGAGUAGAGUGGCGCACGGGUGAGUAACGCGUGGGUAAUCUACCCUUGGAUUUGGGAUAACUCUGCGAAAGUGGAGCUAAUACCGGAUAGUCUGGCUUUAAAUAAGAAGUCGGUAAAGGAUGCCUCUGCAUAUGCAUUCGUCCGAGGAUGAGCCCGCGUCUCAUUAGCUAGUUGGUAGGGUAAUGGCCUACCAAGGCAACGAUGAGUAGCUGGUCUGAGAGGAUGAUCAGCCACACUGGAACUGAAACACGGUCCAGACUCCUACGGGAGGCAGCAGUGGGGAAUAUUGCGCAAUGGGCGAAAGCCUGACGCAGCAACGCCGUGUGAGGGAUGAAGGCUUUCGGGUCGUAAACCUCUGUCGGAAGGGAAGAACGGGCAUUGGUCUAAUAGGCCUUUGUUUUGACGGUACCUUUAGAGGAAGCACCGGCUAACUCCGUGCCAGCAGCCGCGGUAAUACGGAGGGUGCAAGCGUUAUUCGGAAUUACUGGGCGUAAAGCGCACGUAGGCGGCCUUGUAAGUCAGGGGUGAAAUCCCACGGCUCAACCGUGGAACUGCCUUUGAAACUGCAGGGCUUGAAUCCUGGAGAGGGUGGCGGAAUUCCUGGUGUAGGAGUGAAAUCCGUAGAUAUCAGGAGGAACACCGGUGGCGAAGGCGGCCACCUGGACAGGUAUUGACGCUGAGGUGCGAAAGUGUGGGGAGCAAACAGGAUUAGAUACCCUGGUAGUCCACACCGUAAACGAUGGAUACUAGUGUCGGGGACUUGAUCUUCG
Molecule: ribosomal RNA, 820 nt
Filed under: uncultured Desulfomicrobium sp.
Lineage: Bacteria; Pseudomonadati; Thermodesulfobacteriota; Desulfovibrionia; Desulfovibrionales; Desulfomicrobiaceae
Description: bacterial SSU rRNA
Rfam family: Bacterial small subunit ribosomal RNA
Source: RNAcentral